UUUGACCUCAAAUCAGGUAGGACUACCCGCUGAACUUAAGCAUAUCAAUAAGCGGAGGAAAAGAAACUAACAAGGAUUCCCCUAGUAACUGCGAGUGAAGCGGGAAAAGCUCAAAUUUGAAAUCUGGCAGUCUUUUUUUUCUUCUUUGGCUGUCCGAGUUGUAAUCUAGAGAAGUGCUUACCUGCGCUGGACCAUGUAUAAGUCUCCUGGAAUGGAGCCUCACAGAGGGUGAGAAUCCCGUCUUUGACAUGGACCGCCAGUGCGUUGUGGUGCGCUCUCAAAGAGUCGAGUUGUUUGGGAAUGCAGCUCUAAACGGGUGGUAAACUCCAUCUAAAGCUAAAUAUUGGCGAGAGACCGAUAGCGAACAAGUACCGUGAGGGAAAGAUGAAAAGGACUUUGGAAAGAGAGUUAAACAGUAUGUGAAAUUGUUGAAAGGGAAACGCUUGAAGUCAGUUAUGUCGGCUGGGGAUCAACCUA
This 477-nucleotide ribosomal RNA is filed under the name Amanita olivaceogrisea. RNAcentral's name for it is "partial 28S ribosomal RNA". It matches the Rfam family "Eukaryotic large subunit ribosomal RNA", at positions 1 to 456 of the family's 3401-position model. Lineage: Eukaryota; Fungi; Basidiomycota; Agaricomycetes; Agaricales; Amanitaceae. The record is from RNAcentral.